CGCAGCGAGAGGUGCUUGCACCUUUCAAGCGAGUGGCGAACGGGUGAGUAACACGUGGAUAACCUGCCUCAAGGCUGGGGAUAACAUUUGGAAACAGAUGCUAAUACCGAAUAAAACUUAGUAUCGCAUGAUAUCAAGUUAAAAGGCGCUACGGCGUCACCUAGAGAUGGAUCCGCGGUGCAUUAGUUAGUUGGUGGGGUAAAGGCUUACCAAGACGAUGAUGCAUAGCCGAGUUGAGAGACUGAUCGGCCACAUUGGGACUGAGACACGGCCCAAACUCCUACGGGAGGCUGCAGUAGGGAAUCUUCCACAAUGGGCGCAAGCCUGAUGGAGCAACGCCGCGUGUGUGAUGAAGGCUUUCGGGUCGUAAAGCACUGUUGUAUGGGAAGAAAUGCUAAAAUAGGGAAUGAUUUUAGUUUGACGGUACCAUACCAGAAAGGGACGGCUAAAUACGUGCCAGCAGCCGCGGUAAUACGUAUGUCCCGAGCGUUAUCCGGAUUUAUUGGGCGUAAAGCGAGCGCAGACGGUUGAUUAAGUCUGAUGUGAAAGCCCGGAGCUCAACUCCGGAAUGGCAUUGGAAACUGGUUAACUUGAGUGUUGUAGAGGUAAGUGGAACUCCAUGUGUAGCGGUGGAAUGCGUAGAUAUAUGGAAGAACACCAGUGGCGAAGGCGGCUUACUGGACAACAACUGACGUUGAGGCUCGAAAGUGUGGGUAGCAAACAGGAUUAGAUACCCUGGUAGUCCACACCGUAAACGAUGAAUACUAGGUGUUAGGAGGUUUCCGCCUCUUAGUGCCGAAGCUAACGCAUUAAGUAUUCCGCCUGGGGAGUACGACCGCAAGGUUGAAACUCAAAGGAAUUGACGGGGACCCGCACAAGCGGUGGAGCAUGUGGUUUAAUUCGAAGCAACGCGAAGAACCUUACCAGGUCUUGACAUCCUUUGAAGCUUUUAGAGAUAGAAGUGUUCUCUUCGGAGACAAAGUGACAGGUGGUGCAUGGUCGUCGUCAGCUCGUGUCGUGAGAUGUUGGGUUAAGUCCCGCAACGAGCGCAACCCUUAUUGUUAGUUGCCAGCAUUCAGUUGGGCACUCUAGCGAGACUGCCGGUGACAAACCGGAGGAAGGCGGGGACGACGUCAGAUCAUCAUGCCCCUUAUGACCUGGGCUACACACGUGCUACAAUGGCGUAUACAACGAGUUGCCAACCUGCGAAGGUGAGCUAAUCUCUUAAAGUACGUCUCAGUUCGGACUGCAGUCUGCAACUCGACUGCACGAAGUCGGAAUCGCUAGUAAUCGCGGAUCAGCACGCCGCGGUGAAUACGUUCCCGGGUCUUGUACACACCGCCCGUCACACCAUGGGAGUUUGUAAUGCCCAAAGCCGGUG
Molecule: ribosomal RNA, 1381 nt
Filed under: Leuconostoc citreum
Lineage: Bacteria; Bacillati; Bacillota; Bacilli; Lactobacillales; Lactobacillaceae
Description: bacterial SSU rRNA
Rfam family: Bacterial small subunit ribosomal RNA
Source: RNAcentral